GAUCUGUUCUUUAUGCAACUCCUUGACAAAUAAUCAUGAAUGUUCCAAAUUAGUCCCAAGUCAGGUUUUUCAGAAAAUAAUAUGGGUAAGGAUAGAAGUCAAAUAUAUGUCUAUGAAAGCUAUGUGAGACUCAUAAGUUGGUGUGUGGCUAAAAGUGAUGAUUAAUUGAUGACUUGCACAGAGUUGAAUGUGAUGGUUAUGAGCAGAUUGAGGAGUCAACUUACUAUAUGCACUAAGAAGGAACAGUGAAUGGAGGAUAUCACAUCCCAGAAAAUGAAAUAAUACAGUCACCUUCCUUGCUGUCAGAAAUUUAGCAAAUAGGUAGCCCUUUCAUGGAGUGUAGCCAAAAUUUAAACCAGUGAAUACACUUCCUCCUCCACAUCACCCA
Molecule: long non-coding RNA, 388 nt
Filed under: Homo sapiens (human)
Lineage: Eukaryota; Metazoa; Chordata; Mammalia; Primates; Hominidae
Description: non-protein coding lnc-FASTKD1-2:1
Source: RNAcentral